This is a long non-coding RNA of Triticum aestivum (bread wheat), 2544 nucleotides long. RefSeq lists it as uncharacterized. The transcript is spliced from 2 exons. NCBI's taxonomy places the organism in Eukaryota, Viridiplantae, Streptophyta, Magnoliopsida, Poales, Poaceae. The record is from RefSeq and is a predicted model, not a curated record.
CACCCGUGCCUCAAGCCUUCGCCGCCGCCCGCCGCCAGAGAAAACCCCCCAUCCUUCUCUCCUCAAUCUUCAUCUCCCCAUGGCCCCAUCGCAUGGCCCGCCGUGCGCCACCACCCCGUCGCGCCCCUACCGGCCCUGCUCCACCGCGUAGCCUCUUCCUCCCCUUCUCCCCAACAUCGGUGACCGAGUCGGACCAUCCGGCGGUGGGCACGAUGUCCUCUCGCAGAUCUGACUGCCGCCACCGUCGCCUUCUCAACGCCACCUCGAGCUCCCCCACGACGCGGUUGUCCCUGACGAGCACCACCCUGACACUACGUCCCCGGCGAGCUCCUCCCCGACGGCCCCAUACUCUUCUGCACCGCCCCCGCCCCCUCCUCUCCUGCCCCUCGAGCACUACGGCAAGGAUAACGGCAUCCACCUCCCCGCUAGAUCAAGAUCGCGCCCACCACCUCGACUUCUCUCCAAAGGUUCUCUCCCUGUCUCUCGCUCUCUGGUUUAGGUAGCUGUAUAUGUUCUGAUUUGUUCCGUGUGCAGAUCCUGGAAGCGAGGCUCGUCUCUGUGAUUUGCUUGUCAAGAAAUUAUGCAUAGGUUACUUCACUACUGCUCUCGGCUAGCUUGACGUUGUGGCAGAAUAUCAGUUUCCCCUUUGCACAUCCGCUCAUGUAGGUUUAGUAGUACAUGUCUAUUCAUUUAGGUGUUUCCGCUUGCACGUUUCCAGAUCCAGAGCUUACAAGUCUAUCAAUUUAGAUGUUCAGCGUGCCCGUUAUGUCCAGAUCUAGAACUUAAAAGUAGCAUUUUCACAUACAAGAUCUAGUGGGUAAAUCUUUUAAGUUCAAGUUCAGAAUUAAAGACAGAUAUAUGGCUACUAUGAUGCAGGUUGUCCAUGCUAACAGUGGCGGAUCUGAAAGAAAUCUUAGGAGGGGUGAAGGUAAAACAAAAAAUCAAAUACAAAUACACGUAUAAGGGAUGCAAGUGGAGGCAUCUGCAUGUCCGCGAAGCAAAAAUUGCAUUAAUCUUUGUUAGUUUAACAACCCUCUUAGAUUAUUUUUUCUGUUCGCGGUCACUCACGGAUAUGCGGACGCCAUCCACUUAAACAAGUUUGAUUUUGCAGAAUACUGAGAACAUAGAUAAUUACAUUGAUCCUAUCCACAUUACCUUACAAAAUACAUUUCUAACAUUAAUUAUAUAUAAGCUACUUGGUAACAAAUGAAACUGAACCAAAAUACUAAAUAAAUAUGUAGUAUUGAGUUAAUCACUAAGGAUCAGCUCUUUGUUUCUUCCCGCUCCUAAAUUGCAUAAGAAAUUGUUGACUGUGAUUUUACUCUCCGUGCUUAACAUAAGCUACUGGAUAAAAAAUCAUCUUCCAACAUAUUACGUAGCAUUGUCUUAAUAAUCUUCGAAGUAGAAAACACAAGCUUGGCACUUCAGUAUAGCAGGAUUAAAUUCCCAGUGGGGAGAGUGAGGCUAGACUGCUCUUGCUGCUCAUAGCCUCACUUGUACAUGACACCGGCAGUGGCCUGAUGCCUAAGCACGACCGCGACUAGACGAGCCCAGGAGCUCUAACCACCAGCCUCUGGCAUCUGGCCCCAACGCUAGUAAGCUCCAGUGGCCUGUGUUCUGGCUCCCCGACCCCAUGCUCACGCGUCACCGGUCGCAAAGUCCGCGCUAGACAAAAGAGUAGAAGGCGCGCUACAGUAUUGUUUCGCUGCUUGUUUGUCUCCUAUGCAGAGCGUGAGAAGGAUGUGAUAACUGUGCCUUAUGGGUUGUAGUGUGCAGUACUACUACCUGGUACUAUUUUUUUUCAUUUUCGCUGGGAGGCAACCGCCCAGGUUCGCCCCUGUGAAGCUCUGCCGUUGCAUGCUAGUACUCUGGAUACUAUGUCAACUAGAUUUUUGCUUGUUUGUGUGGGCAAAGCAACCAAAGUUGUUGAUAGGUAUUCUAUAUCCUAUCUUUUCAGGGAAAUCGCGAUGGUUACUGGAACAAUCUUCCUUCUAAUGAUCCCAUUUUGUUAACUUAAAACAUAUUUUUUAACUUAAAACAUAUUUCCUGACUGAAUGUUUUUGUGAUUUAAAGGUACCGAUGAAUGUUUAAAGGCUACAUUGGUGUUUCUAGCUUGGAGAAGCAACAUCAACUUGGGAUACAGAUUCACCAGCAUAUGUACAUGCAUCUCAUAGGGGAAGAGCUCUUGCAUGGAUGACCAUAAUGUCACUCUGGAUGCUUCUCCACAAGAUUUGAUUCUGGAGCCUGACGCUGGUGUUGCAGGGAUGUUUGGAUUUUUAUUGAUAAUGCAUCUGGAACUACCUCAGCUUGUCACUCCUCGGAAGCCAACCUCUUGAUAGUUAAUGAUGUCGGGUGCAUGUAUAGAUAGCAUGUUGUAACAAGUUUAUUUGAUACUCGGCGUGACCAACAAUGCUUGUACAUGUUGGUCACAGUGUUCUAGUUGCAACGACUAACUUGUCAUAGCUUAUUUUUUGAAUUUGGCCUUUAGUUGACUACAUAUCUGAUGUAUGUGUUCAUUGAUUAUGAAUCUGAUGUGGUGUAUGA